UACGUAGGGUGCGAGCGUUAAUCGGAAUUACUGGGCGUAAAGCGUGCGCAGGCGGUUCGUUGUGUCGGCGGUGAAAGCCCCGGGCUUAACCUGGGAACGGCCGUUGAAACUGGCGAACUGGAGUGUGGCAGAGGGGGGUGGAAUUCCCGGUGUAGCGGUGAAAUGCGUAGAUAUCAGGAGGAACACCUGUGGCGAAAGCGCGUAACUGGGGCAUAACUGACGCUGAGGAACGAAAGCCAGGGUAUCCAAAGGG
RNAcentral lists this ribosomal RNA (253 nucleotides) under uncultured bacterium. RNAcentral describes it as "partial 16S ribosomal RNA". It matches the Rfam family "Bacterial small subunit ribosomal RNA", at positions 524 to 776 of the family's 1533-position model. The record is from RNAcentral.